GGCCUAAUACAUGCAAGUCGAACGAUAUUGAGGGGCUUGCUCCUUAAGAAAGUGGCGCACGGGUGCGUAACGCGUAUGCAACCUACCUUAAUCAGGGGGAUAGCCCGAAGAAAUUCGGAUUAACACCGCAUAAAAACACAGAGUAGCAUUACUCAAUGUUCAAAUAUUUAUAGGAUUAAGAUGGGCAUGCGUGUCAUUAGCUAGUUGGCGGGGUAACGGCCCACCAAGGCGACGAUGACUAGGGGAUCUGAGAGGAUGACCCCCCACACUGGUACUGAGACACGGACCAGACUCCUACGGGAGGCAGCAGUAAGGAAUAUUGGUCAAUGGAGGCAACUCUGAACCAGCCAUGCCGCGUGCAGGAAGACGGCCCUAUGGGUUGUAAACUGCUUUUAUCUGGGAAUAAACCUACUUACGUGUAAGUAGCUGAAUGUACCAGAAGAAUAAGGAUCGGCUAACUCCGUGCCAGCAGCCGCGGUAAUACGGAGGAUCCAAGCGUUAUCCGGAUUUAUUGGGUUUAAAGGGUGCGUAGGCGGCCUGUUAAGUCAGAGGUGAAAGACGGUAGCUCAACUAUCGCAGUGCCUUUGAUACUGACGGGCUUGAAUAAACUAGAGGUAGGCGGAAUGAGACAAGUAGCGGUGAAAUGCAUAGAUAUGUCUCAGAACACCGAUUGCGAAGGCAGCUUACUAUGGUUUUAUUGACGCUGAGGCACGAA
Molecule: ribosomal RNA, 715 nt
Filed under: uncultured Sphingobacteriaceae bacterium
Lineage: Bacteria; Pseudomonadati; Bacteroidota; Sphingobacteriia; Sphingobacteriales; Sphingobacteriaceae
Description: bacterial SSU rRNA
Rfam family: Bacterial small subunit ribosomal RNA
Source: RNAcentral